RNAcentral lists this long non-coding RNA (620 nucleotides) under Chinchilla lanigera (long-tailed chinchilla). RNAcentral describes it as "lncRNA (ENSCLAG00000028518.1)". Lineage: Eukaryota; Metazoa; Chordata; Mammalia; Rodentia; Chinchillidae. The record is from RNAcentral.
CCCAGAUCGGGGGUGGACAUCUUCUCUGGCUCCUGGUUAGAAACUGUCCGUCAGCCAGCUUAAUUAACCUUUGUUCAUUCCUGCCUUUUCAGUUUUCCUGUGAGUGCCUUUCUCAGUGAAUUCACUUGCUGUAUCACAUGGAGGCCCACGUGAGAUUGGCUUCACAGAAACAAAUAAACAAAAACCCUCGUGUUUGAGGAGGUCCUAUGCCUCCUGGCUUUCACAGCUGCCCUUUAGGUGGCAGGGUGCCUCCAGCUGCUUUCAGGUGGCCACCUGGGGAUGACUGCAUGCCAGGAUACCAAGGCUGCAUAAGCAGAAUGGUAAAGCCCCCCUCCAACCUAGUGCUGUGCUGGGUACAGUGAUGCCUCACACGGCUUCCUCUCUGCAGUGAACCACACACUACUAAGGAGCUCACACAGUACAGCGCUCAGGUGAACGGGAGUUUUCCUCUUCGGGAAGUUUUCUUUAAGAAUACGACACAGUUUGUGGUUUAUGGGAAUACUUCUCCAAAUGUUUUUCCUGAACUUCGUUUCUUUUAAAUCCUUGCAGAGUUUUUCAAUAAAGAAUAUAAAUAAAAAUUUGAAAUUAGUCCUAAAUCUCUCUAAGGACAGUUUUACUUU